CCUANGGGAGGCUGCAGUGGGGAAUUUUGGACAAUGGGCGCAAGCCUGAUCCAGCCAUACCGCGUGAGUGAAGAAGGCCUUCGGGUUGUAAAGCUCUUUCAGCCGGAAAGAAAUCGCACUGGUUAAUACCUUGUGUGGAUGACGGUACCGGAAGAAGAAGCACCGGCUAACUACGUACCAGCAGCCGCGGUAAUACGUAGGGUGCGAGCGUUAAUCGGAAUUACUGGGCGUAAAGCGUGCGCAGGCGGUUUUUUAAGCCAGAUGUGAAAUCCCCGGGCUCAACCUGGGAACUACAUUUGGAACUGGAAGACUAGAGUGUAGCAGAGGGGGGUAGAAUUCCACGUGUAGCAGUGAAAUGCGUAGAUAUGUGGAGGAAUACCAAUGGCGAAGGCAGCCCCCUGGGUUAACACUGACGCUCAUGCACGAAAGCGUGGGGAGCAAACAGGAUUAGAUACCCGGNUANUC
This 465-nucleotide ribosomal RNA is filed under the name uncultured bacterium. RNAcentral describes it as "bacterial SSU rRNA". It matches the Rfam family "Bacterial small subunit ribosomal RNA", at positions 338 to 795 of the family's 1533-position model. The record is from RNAcentral.